AUUGAACGCUGGCGGCAGGCCUAACACAUGCAAGUCGAACGGUAACAGGAAGCAGCUUGCUGUUUCGCUGACGAGUGGCGGACGGGUGAGUAAUGUCUGGGAAACUGCCUGAUGGAGGGGGAUAACUACUGGAAACGGUAGCUAAUACCGCAUAACGUCGCAAGACCAAAGAGGGGGACCUUCGGGCCUCUUGCCAUCGGAUGUGCCCAGAUGGGAUUAGCUAGUAGGUGGGGUAACGGCUCACCUAGGCGACGAUCCCUAGCUGGUCUGAGAGGAUGACCAGCCACACUGGAACUGAGACACGGUCCAGACUCCUACGGGAGGCAGCAGUGGGGAAUAUUGCACAAUGGGCGCAAGCCUGAUGCAGCCAUGCCGCGUGUAUGAAGAAGGCCUUCGGGUUGCAAAGUACUUUCAGCGGGGAGGAAGGGAGUAAAGUUAAUACCUUUGCUCAUUGACGUUACCCGCAGAAGAAGCACCGGCUAACUCCGUGCCAGCAGCCGCGGUAAUACGGAGGGUGCAAGCGUUAAUCGGGAUUACUGGGCGUAAAGCGCACGCAGGCGGUUUGUUAAGUCAGAUGUGAAAUCCCCGGGCUCAACCUGGGAACUGCAUCUGAUACUGGCAAGCUUGAGUCUCGUAGAGGGGGGUAGAGUUCCAGGUGUAGCGGUGAAAUGCGUAGAGAUCUGGAGGAAUACCGGUGGCGAAGGCGGCCCCCUGGACGAAGACUGACGCUCAGGUGCGAAAGCGUGGGGAGCAAACAGGAUUAGAUACCCUGGUAGUCCACGCCGUAAACGAUGUCGACUUGGAGGUUGUGCCCUUGAGGCGUGGCUUCCGGAGCUAACGCGUUAAGUCGACCGCCUGGGGAGUACGGCCGCAAGGUUAAAACUCAAAUGAAUUGACGGGGGCCCGCACAAGCGGUGGAGCAUGUGGUUUAAUUCGAUGCAACGCGAAGAACCUUACCUGGUCUUGACAUCCACGGAAGUUUUCAGAGAUGAGAAUGUGCCUUCGGGAACCGUGAGACAGGUGCUGCAUGGCUGUCGUCAGCUCGUGUUGUGAAAUGUUGGGUUAAGUCCCGCAACGAGCGCAACCCUUAUCCUUUGUUGCCAGCGGUCCGGCCGGGAACUCAAAGGAGACUGCCAGUGAUAAACUGGAGGAAGGUGGGGAUGACGUCAAGUCAUCAUGGCCUUACGACCAGGGCUACACACGUGCUACAAUGGCGCAUACAAAGAGAAGCGACCUCGCGAGAGCAAGCGGACCUCAUAAAGUGCGUCGUAGUCCGGAUUGGAGUCUGCAACUCGACUCCAUGAAGUCGGAAUCGCUAGUAAUCGUGGAUCAGAAUGCCACGGUGAAUACGUUCCCGGGCCUUGUACACACCGCCCGUCACACCAUGGGAGUGGGUUGCAAAAGAAGUAGGUAGCUUAACCUUCGGGAGGGCGCUUACCACUUUGUGAUUCAUGACUGGGGUG
Molecule: ribosomal RNA, 1463 nt
Filed under: Escherichia coli
Lineage: Bacteria; Pseudomonadati; Pseudomonadota; Gammaproteobacteria; Enterobacterales; Enterobacteriaceae
Description: bacterial SSU rRNA
Rfam family: Bacterial small subunit ribosomal RNA
Source: RNAcentral